CCACCUAGGCGCCCCUGAACUGGAAACCCUUUAGCAUUCCUUCUAUAAUAAUAGGUUUGACAAACCUCACCACUCCUUGGUGCUGGCGAACCCCACCCUCUCCUUGACCGCAUCCUGCUGUCACUUCUCUUGCCCAGCGACACAAGAAUGGUUGGCUUGCCUCUGGGAGGGCAAAUGGUGAGGAGCCAGGCUCCGCGAGUCCUGAAGAGAAUUUUCUCACUGAUACCAUGGGGAGGGCAGAAAUGAAUAUACUGAAUAGCACUUUUUUUUUUCCCCUAACCAGAACAUUUAUUGUGCGACUAAUCCUGCAAAUCCUCUAGAUGAACUGGAUGCGGUGAGCUGCGGGUCGGGUUAGGGGUUCUUCCCUCCCGGGCGCUACGCGGGGAUGCGCGCGCACACGGUUUUCAGGCGCCGCAUGUUGGCGCCGCUGGUGCUUCACCUCAGGCUGCGCGCUCCAGCCGCACUUUCUCUGCCGCUCGGCAGCGGCGCCCCAUCUGCCCCAGGCCGACUCCCGAGGGUGGUAGAGCCACGGCGACGGCACAGCAGGUGGGUCUCACUGCCACGCGCUCCGCACGACCACGUCUCCUUCGUCGUCCCGUUUCCGCGGCGGAGACCACAGAGGCCGGAAGACGAGAUACUUCCGCUCUCUGCACGUGGCUUUUCAAGGAAGUUUGUCAGAACGUGAGGAGACUCACAGUUUGGGGAAUGAACCUGUCAGUGGCCGUCAAACUUAGUAAAAGGAGCCGCUGACAGCCCUUUCAGACGGUAAGGGAAGAGCCUACCUGAGAAUGGAGCCAGCCCUGCACACUUUACCUGAAGCUAGACCUCCCCUGGACCUUUCAGCCAAGUGAGCCAAGAGAUCUGCUUUGUUCAGCCAAGUGGAGGAUCCCACGGACUCAAGGCACCUGGAAGUGUGAAAAGCUGGCAGCAACCCUCCUUCUCCCCGACCCCAGCCAAGACAACAAGUGUCCCCAGGUUUUUGCAGCCUCUGCUCCUAUGCCCAGAUGCCCUUCCUUCCUCCCCUGGCUGGCUCCUGUUCAAGCUUCAGGUCUCGGCAUAAACAUCACCUCCUUGGAGGUGUGAGACGAAAUGGGAUUCCUUUGCUGGCUUGUCUGUUCCUCCUCUGUUCAAACUCUGCAUGGGAAGUUUCCAGGACUGAGGCCCAAGCCUCUUCUCAUCUGACUCUGCAUUUACUCCCCCUUGGGGCCGUCCCAUCAAUCUGUAGGCCAGUGGCCCUCAACUUUAUAUUUCCAGCCUGGAUCUUCUGAAAUCAAUGGGAUACUUGAGCGUCUCAAAUAUGAACAAGCCCCACACUGGACUUACGAUGUCUUCCCGUAAAUCUGCACCCCCUUCAGGUCCCCUGUUUCAAUAAAUGGAACCCCCCUCCCCCCAGUUAUCCAUAUCAUCAACUCAUUCUCCAUCCUCCACAGCCAGCUCAUCCUAGGCCCUGUGGCUUCUGCUCCACAAAUAUAUCUCACAUGUGUUCACCUCUGUCCAUCUCCACCACCACCACCCCAAUGCAGGCCAUUACUAUGACUCGCCCGGAUAACUCCUGUAGACUGUCCCUUUGCUUUUAUUCUCAACCCUGUUAUAAUCCAUUCUCUACACAGAACCCAGGAUUAUGACUUUCAGAUACAAAUGUAAGCAAUAUCAUUCACGUUUAAAGCCUUUUGAUGGUUUCUCUUAGCUUGGAUAUAAAACCCAAACUGGCUGGCUCAGUUAGUGGAGCAUGUGACUCUUGAUCUUGGGGUCAUGAAUUCAAGCCCCAUGUUGGGCAAAGAGCCUACAAACAAACAAAUAAAUACAAAUAAAAAUUAAAGUACAAAGUCAUUGGUAUGGUUCACAAUGCCCUGCGUGAGCUGGGCCCAGGGUUAUAAAAUCAAAUGUCUAUAGGGUACAGGUGAGUGACUUAAAUAAAUGAAACUAGCUAAGUCAGGAAAAUAGUAAGAGCAGGGACUGUGGCAAAUUGUGGAGUGCAUGCCUGUGGAAGAGUAUCGUCUCUCGAGUCCAGCAGAUUGUUGGCCUGUGAGAAGAUAGAACCUGUGGCAGGAUCUUCUGAUAUUUCAAGAGAAGCUCAGUCAUUCUGAUUUUUAAAUAAACCUAGGAAUUUUAAAGUUGGCAACUAAUUCGCAAACUUUUUUUUAUCUUAACAAAACAAAAAACAGAAAAUCAUAUCUGUGGGUCAGAUGGAGCUCCUCAAACAGCCAAAUGUUGACUUCUGCUCGAAGGAUCAUGGACAGAAAACUCUUAGAAAAAUUAAUCAUAGUUUAGUUUGAGAAGCACUUAAUGGGGUUAGGAGGUGGGGCUUGCAAAGAUAAAGUGUGUUUUCAUCCCCUUGCUGCAAUGAGAUAGAUUGAGAUACAGAGAAAUACAUUGCUCUGCUUAAUAUAGUAAAAUAUGUCUUUGGCAGGAAAAAAUUUGUGUUUUACAUUGGAUUGUGAGUUUUCUUUAGGGGAGAGGAGGUUUGGAGACCCUAAAAGAAGGAGGAAGAAGGAGAUGGGGAAAGGGCUGGGGUCCAGUGUCCAUGGCUCAGAAACAGGGCAGCAGGCCAAGCCUGUAAGGAGAGGGCAAAAGGUCUUCCCCGUGACGUAGUGUGACAGACGAACCACGAGAAUCCUGAGAUCUGCCAGUCAACUCAGUCCUUUCUGAUGUGGGCUCUCCCUCCUGUCCUUCCCUGUUUUGGCAAUCUCUGAACCCCACUGUCACAGGUUUGAGCUAGCCCUGGUUGUCUUGGGGUGAAGCCACCUGCAGAGAGCCAGGCAGAGGUGAUCUGAGCCAGAGGCAGCUGGGGGCACACAGGAAGGACCUGCUACAACCACCCACAGAGAUGUUUGAGGGAGCACCUGCCUGCCUGCAGCCC
Molecule: long non-coding RNA, 2860 nt
Organism: Ailuropoda melanoleuca (giant panda)
Lineage: Eukaryota; Metazoa; Chordata; Mammalia; Carnivora; Ursidae
Exons: 5
Source: RefSeq, a predicted model, not a curated record